Molecule: ribosomal RNA, 759 nt
Filed under: Triticum aestivum (bread wheat)
Lineage: Eukaryota; Viridiplantae; Streptophyta; Magnoliopsida; Poales; Poaceae
Description: partial small subunit ribosomal RNA
Source: RNAcentral
AUGGAGGUGGGCUUGCGGCUACGCGCUCUCGCUCACAGCCGCGCGGCAUUCGCCGGAUUUUCAGUGGCCGCGCACGGCUGCAGGCAUCGCCAACCGCGCCGCGUAGCCUCUUCAUCUGCCUCCUGUUCCCUUGCAGUUGCUUCCAGCGGCAAUGGAGCCGCGGCUGGACCCGUGGGGAGCGGCGUGGAGGUCGCGCGCGCCAAGAGGAUGCUCCAUGUGGUGCUGGUUUCCCCUCUGAUCCCAGGAAAUACAGGAUCAAUUGCAAGGACUUGUGCAGCAUCAGCAGUUGGCCUCCAUCUUGUCGGGCCAUUGGGUUUUCAUGUAGAUGACACAAAACUUAAGCGUGCUGGAUUGGAUUAUUGGCCAUAUGUUGUCGUUAAGAUUCAUGACUCCUGGGAUGAGUUCCGAGAUUAUUUCAUGAAGCAGGAUGGGCAAAAAAGAUUGUUGGCAUUUACCAAAAGAGGCACCCACAUUCAUUCAGAUUUCUCAUAUAAGCCUGGGGACUGGCUAGUAUUCGGGUCCGAGACAAAAGGGCUACCAGAGUCCGCCCUGGAAGACUGCUCCGGAGAAGCCCUGGGUGGUGGAACCAUCCGAAUUCCGAUGGUGGAAACCUAUGUCCGGUGCCUGAACCUCUCGGUGAGCGUUGGAGUAGCGUUGUACGAAGCAGCGAGGCAGCUGAACUACCAGCAGCUCCAGUACCAACCUGAUCUCCCAGAGGAAGCGCAAGGACUGUUCCCAGCAGAGGAUAUUUAUGGAUGA